GGGGAAUUUUCCGCAAUGGGCGAAAGCCUGACGGAGCAAUACCGCGUGAGGGAGGAAGGUUUUUGGAUUGUAAACCUCUUUUUUAAAGGAAGAAGAAAGUGACGGUACUUUAAGAAUCAGCAUCGGCUAACUCCGUGCCAGCAGCCGCGGUAAUACGGAGGAUGCAAGCGUUAUCCGGAAUCAUUGGGCGUAAAGCGUCCGCAGGUGGCUGUUCAAGUCUGCUGUUAAAGACAGAAGCUCAACUUCUGAACAGCAGUGGAAACUGGACGGCUAGAGUACGGUAGGGGCUGAGGGAAUUCCCAGUGUAGCGGUGAAAUGCGUAGAUAUUGGGAAGAACACCAGUGGCGAAGGCGCUCAACUGGAUCGUAACUGACACUCAGGGACGAAAGCUAGGGUAGCGAAAGGGAUUAGAUACCCCUGUAGUCUUAGCUGUAAACGAUGAACACUAGGCGUUGCUUGUAUCGACCCGAGCAGUGCCGUAGCCAACGCGUUAAGUGUUCCGCCUGGGGAGUACGCACGCAAGUGUGAAACUCAAAGGAAUUGACGGGGGCCCGCACAAGCGGUGGAGUAUGUGGUUUAAUUCGAUGCAACGCGAAGAACCUUACCAGGACUUGACAUCUCGAGAACUGAACCUAAUAGUUCAGGUGCCUUAGGGAACUCGAAGACAGGUGGUGCAUGGCUGUCGUCAGCUCGUGUCGUGAGAUGUUGGGUUAAGUCCCGCAACGAGCGCAACCCUCGUUCUUAGUUGCCAGCAUUAAGUUGGGCACUUUAGGAAGACUGCCGGUGACAAACCGGAGGAAGGUGGGGAUGACGUCAAGUCAGCAUGCCCCUUACGUUCUGGGCUACACACGUACUACAAUGGUUGGGACAAAGGGCAGCGAGCUCGCAAGAGUCAGCGAAUCUCAUCAAACCCAGCCUCAGUUCAGAUUGCAGGCUGCAACUCGCCUGCAUGAAGGAGGAAUCGCUAGUAAUCGCAGGUCAGCAUACUGCGGUGAAUUCGUUCCCGGGCCUUGUACACACCGCCCGUCACACCAUGGAAGUUGGCCACGCCCGAAGUCGUUACCCUAACCCUGUAUAGGGAGGGGGAUGCCGAAGGCAGGGCUGGUGACUAGGGUGAAGUCGUAACAAGGUAGCCGUACCGGAAGGUGUGGCUGGAUCACCUCCUU
Molecule: ribosomal RNA, 1166 nt
Filed under: Pleurocapsales cyanobacterium ATA3-5Q-KO4
Lineage: Bacteria; Bacillati; Cyanobacteriota; Cyanophyceae; Pleurocapsales
Description: bacterial SSU rRNA
Rfam family: Bacterial small subunit ribosomal RNA
Source: RNAcentral